Molecule: long non-coding RNA, 624 nt
Organism: Mus musculus (house mouse)
Lineage: Eukaryota; Metazoa; Chordata; Mammalia; Rodentia; Muridae
Product: predicted gene, 30617
Exons: 4
Source: RefSeq, a predicted model, not a curated record
UAGACCACAGGAUUCCCUAAUUGGUGCGUGUUCGAGUAAGAACACACAUUAUAUUCAGAAGAGGCUGGCAGUGGCCAAGUGAGAUCCCAGCUGGACAUUCAGCUUGGCGGCGACUCCCUUCCAUGGCCCCUCUGAUCAAGCCGGAGAGCAGCCCGCGUUACCCACGACCCGUGUUUCAUCAUCCUGCUGGAGUGUGAGGUUAGCCCUGAGAUCAACUUACAACGCACCAACGCUGUUGGGUACCAGAAGACGAACAUUUCCAGGACUCUGCCUAGGAAUCUUGCCAUGCCUUUUAAACACAACUCGAAGGCCCUCUGAAGACUUAAUAGGUAUCUGUCAAGGCUACAUUCUGCUCUACGUGUAAAUCACCAAGACCUGUUUUUAAAAUUCCAAGCUGGAGGCAAAUGGCCAGGCAGAAAUCGAGGGAACUGUCAUUCGGCAGGACAGAUGUCUUGGCUUGGGUUAUAAAACUCCUCUGCCUAUGAAGAGUUGAAGAAACUUGAAGUGAUGUUUGCAUAUAUGAUUCAGUCCCAUGGAGAUACACAGGGAAAUCUCUGCUGCUUACUGCAUUUUGUCUGAAUGUGCGGCAGCCCCAGCUAGCUCACUGUGACCUCAAGAACUCCC